UUCAAGAGACACAAUCCUACAAAAGGACACACCUCUUGAAUUAAUCUCUCUGAAGAGACACACCCAUUGAAAAUAAUCAUACCAAAAGUCAUGAUUAUUCAUAUGAAAGGACGCACAUUUUCAUCUAAAUUGAUCGUAAAAUAUUUCAAAUAAUUAAGUGGCUUAAUUCUCAUAACUAAAUACUUAUAUCAACUUAAAUCAUCUCAAUUAGUUUCAUAGGAUUAAAUGAGGCUAUCAACAUUCAUCAAAGUUAGUAUAAUUUCAACAGAAUAUGAAAAUUUAAUUAAUUAGACCAUUUUAACCAAAAAGGUCAAUCCAAAAUCCAAACGCUUGUAUGGAUUCAUCAAAUGAAUACACUAAUCCGCUUCACAUGAUUAUCAUAUGAUACCCAACAAAGUUGCCUACUUAAAAUAAAUGCAUACUCAUGCCAUUGCCGUUAUGAGCAUAUUUAUCAGUUAAAAUAUGUCUUCUUAUGCAAGUAAUAUAUUCAAACGCAUAAUGAUUUGUCAUAGUGAGAGAACAAAAGUUAUUGGGAUGACAUACGCAUAAACUAAAAGUAAAGAAUUCUACACAAACUAUAAAUUUCAGCAUUACUAGAUUUUGGCAAAACCAAAGCCAACAUGCUUUGAACAAUUAAAAUUAUCCCAAGAUGCAUCUUUCGCAAGUUUAGUAAAUUUAUUUCUUGAUAAUUUUGAAUUGAGGCAAUUUAAAUAUGAAGGAAUGCAAUGGUUAGUAUAUAAAAUUCACAAUGUCCAUGUGCAAUUUGACUUUACAAAUCAGUUUACAUUUAUAUACUAUCUGGACAGAUAUUUCAUGCUACACAAUUCAAACGGGUCACACCAUUUCAAAAAUUAAAAACUGUUUUUAAUUUGGAAAGAUACAUUUUUCCAUAUAGCAUGCAUACUAUUUGUUUACAAACAGUUAACAAAAUUUUACCAACCUUCCCAAUCAAAAUUCCUUAGGCAACUUCUGACACAACUUAUAUUUUAAUAUAGAUACACUUUGAAUUAAAAGAGUGCCAACAAAUAAAACUCAUAGAUGAGACUACCAACAAAUACAAUACACAAACAUGUAUGCACCGGUUCAUGAAUAUGAUAUGUAUUAUGAAUUUCACAACUAAUUAUCAUAUAAUCUGGUGCAUCAAUUUGAGAUUUUUCACUCUAAUCUCUGAAUAUUAGAAUUUCUUCUAAUGGGUCAAAACCAGAAUCUACAUUAUAUGGUGCAGGAUUGAAUAAUAUCAGAUUAUUUGUCGACAAAUCAACUUGAAAUAUAUUUUAAUGAAUUCAACAUAUAAAAGAAUGAUUCCAAGUUAUAGAAUCACUAUCGAUUAUGCAAUAAUAUACAGAUUCAUUACACAUGAAUUUCUCUAAUUAAAAUGUUGUAAUAAAACACAUUUACCAGAAUCAUGAUACGUCAAAAUUCUGUCUUAUGAUUUUAUUCAUGCAGUAUCUUGAUUUCGAUUGCAAAUAAAAUAUAAUAUGCAUAAGAAAAUUCAUCUUAAGAUUUUUAAUGAAACGACAUCAUGCAUGUUGAAUUUUCUCAAAGUUGUGUGCCUCUAACUUAAUAAGAUUCAAUAUCCACUUUACUUGAAUCUGAAUUUGACAUAUAUUAAAUAGAAAAAAUCAUAAUGUAUAGAAAUUGAUGUUCUAAUCUAUGUUGUGUGAAUAAUUUAUUAAAGCAGAAAUGGGAUAUGAAUUUUAUAGUUCUAAUCCUACGGGGUGGAUAUAUUCUAUUUAACUCGAAUCAAUGUUCACUAUUACGUGCUAUGUUAUAACGAAAUGCACCAUAGCCCAUUGGUUAUUUGCUAUAUGUGUGAAAUUAGAAAAAUAUAAUUUAAGUGUAUAGAAACAUAUCGAAGAUACAUGGUUUUUCAUGGGUUGUAAAGCUGAUUAUGAUGUUUGUUUAGACAAUAUUAUAAACUUGGGACUAAAAUAUCCACACUUUAGCAAAAUAAUAUACAAUCAAAGAAAUUGAAAGAUCCACGAAUUCAUGAGGGCUAUACAUGCACUCACAUAGCGGCUGAUGGACCAAGCAAUGGGUUUUCUUUCAUACUUUGAAAUGCGAACCUGCCUAAAGUCGACGUACCAAUGCACUUGGUGGACUUCUCACGACAAUUAAUUAUUGAUGUACAUUGAAAUGACAAAUAUGAUAAUUUUGACGACAACAACAAUGGUGGGCACAAUCCAAGGGAACCAUUUCUUGAAAGGUUGGUCUGGUGGUGAUGGAAGAGGCAGUGGACGACAGGGACAAAGGCCACCAACUGUGUGUGGAUCCGUUUGGCAUGCUUGAAUUUUGAUCUCGAGCUUUGACUCAGGCAAAGAGUGUUAGAUAUUUUUCAUCAUUUUGCAUGUGUUUAAUUUUUUGUUUUGCGAAUGAUUUGUCGCCAGGAUUAGUGUUUGCCGCUGCGCAACGGGGUUCAACCUGCCCGGUCAGGUCUCGGGGGUCGAGGGGGCAACCCCCCGAAAGAGAAUUUUAUUUUCAAAAGUUUUUGAAUAGGUGCAUCUGUUCAUUUUUAACAGUCACUUCCAAGGGAUACACCUAUUCAAAUAGUUGCCUCAAUGUUUAUAAAUUCAUGGCGAAUUCUCAUUUGCAAACACAUUAAACAAUUUAUUCUUCCUUCUUUUUCUUGGCAUCAAUCAGUCAUUUUCGAGUGUCUUCUUGGUUUGAUCAAAUAGUCACAAUUUGAAUCAAACGCCUCCAUUGUAUCCUGAGAGAGAUUUUCUAUCAUACCCCAGUUGUUCCUUUUUUGAAUAGGGGAGAAACAUCUCUUAAAAGAUAACCUUUUUUUUUCGUGCCUUGGAGUUCAUUAACGUAUUCAGAUUUUCCUACAUUAUUAUCAACAAAGAGUAUGGAGAAAUCCUCCCCAUUCUGGCCAGUCAGGGCCUCGAAAGGGAAGAAAGGAUGAUUUGAUGCUAAUUUUGGACUAGCAGAAUCGUUAGGAAAAAAUUGAGUAGUUGAAAAUGUGCAACAUAUCAUGAAUUAUAGGACUAUGACACAAUCUUUAGCAUAUGUCUAUGUAAAGGUUAUGAGGAGACAGAGACACACAUGCAAGAAUCCCUUGCUAAUAAUUUUUAUUGUUUUUUUUUUGGGGAAUUUAUAGAUUAAAACCAUUACUCUGAAGUUUUAUGAAUCAUGAUACAUUCUAUUUGAAUCUUUGAUAGUAAGUAGAAGUGAUACGUGAACGAGUUGUAUGUGUUUUGCUUCCUUCAUAAGUUACAACUUUUCAAAUUUGUACACCACGAAAUUGGAUAGACUCAUUAAUUCAUGAUUUGGCAUGUACAUGAUUAAAACUUCAUCUUCACCUUUCUCUAACAUAUCACCGCAAUCUAUUUUUAAUUUCAAACUCAACAAGGACAAUUAAACACGAUGGUUUCGCUCGUUGAAAGACUUAAUCCAACACCUUAGUGCACGAGCCCUCCAACCCCUCCUUUUUAGGAUCCACCUCAUUUCAAUAACCUGUCUCCUACUGCCUUUUUUUUGAGAAAUGGGAAAGUCAAAAUGCUUAGAGAUGAAAAUGAGAGAAUGUCUACAAUAUCUAGAAUAACAAUCUCUUUAUUUAUGGGUAAAUUUCACAAACAGUCACUGAACUUAACUAAAAAUUUCAGAAUAGUCACUGAAAUUACAAACUUGCAGAAACGGUCACUGAAGUUUUGGGACGGUUUCACCAACGGUCACUCUUUUAAAUUGGUAGCACUAUAUGACUUUAAUUCAAACUUAAAGGACCAGAACACGUGAACACAAAACCUUGAGGACCUCAAGUGAAAAUUUCAUCUAAACCCUUACUCCCAACCCCACAAACCCAAACGACCAGCAGCCACCGCCUCACUUCGGUCAGUCACCGAAGAUCCAAGAAGCUUCUCUCCGGUAUUCUCAUCUAAGUCCGAACAAUCCUUGGGCAAUUUCUUAGUAUAGUAUUUAGCAACAGAGGCAGAUGACCUUAUAUGAUGAUUUCCAGCAGUCCCUACUAUAACCUUAGUUGCACAGUAGGAAUUGGCCUCUCGAACAGGAAUUUUCCGAACUGAUGAACCUCGGCAAACCUUUAGCUUUAGAUCCACGUGCAACAUCACUAGUUAAAUCCCGACUAAAGCUAAAGGUUAAAUCCCAACUCAAAAAUGAUGAUUCAAUCAUAGAAAUUAAAUUAUUUUCUUAUUCUUGCAAGUGGAAACAAGAGGAGAAAAUAUAUAAAAGCAAAAAUGCAUGUGGGCUUGACUGCUUAAGAGAAUAGAUCCACUGACAAAGCUCAAAUUUUUACCGAAUCACUAUCAAUUCCAGAAAAAAACUCAUCAACUGUGUGACAUUUCAAGAAAAUUGCAGGGAUCCCAAAUGAUAUUUGACAAGAAAUAUUGAAAAUUGUGAGAAAAUUACCUAUUUCAGAUUGCAGAAACCUUCAUAAACUGCAAGAAUGGAGUCAAAUGCUUUUACCAAAGAGAAGAUGAUUUACCAUCACGAUCCACAAUUUCCGCACAGCCCAAAUCAAUUAUUCACUAAAUGAAAAUACAAGUAAAAAAAUCUUUACUUCCAGAUGCCCCAGACACGACUAGACGAGGAAAAGCAUAGUCAAGAAGAGCUUCAAGUAUUGGAAGAAGAAGACCACCAACAAUUCUCCAAUCGAGAAUCUCGAGCAAAAUCUCAUUACAGUGGAGGAGGAGGCGGCUGCAGGUUGGACGGAGAUGUGAGUUGCGGCUGCUGGUCGUUUGGGUUUGGGGGUGGGGGUUUAGAUGAAAUUUUCACUUGAGGUACUCAAGGUUUUGUGUUCACAUGUUCUGGUCCUUUAAGUUUGAAUUAAAAUCAUAACGAUCCUAAUGGUACUACUAACUUAACAGAGUGACCAUUAGUGAAAUCGCCCUAAAAUUUCAG
Molecule: long non-coding RNA, 4857 nt
Filed under: Olea europaea (common olive)
Lineage: Eukaryota; Viridiplantae; Streptophyta; Magnoliopsida; Lamiales; Oleaceae
Description: long non-coding RNA (OEUR_LNC014067)
Source: RNAcentral